UUAAGCGACUAAGCGUACACGGUGGAUGCCCUGGCAGUCAGAGGCGAUGAAGGACGUGCUAAUCUGCGAUAAGCGUCGGUAAGGUGAUAUGAACCGUUAUAACCGGCGAUUUCCGAAUGGGGAAACCCAGUGUGAUUCGUCACACUAUCAUUAACUGAAUCCAUAGGUUAAUGAGGCGAACCGGGGGAACUGAAACAUCUAAGUACCCCGAGGAAAAGAAAUCAACCGAGAUUCCCCCAGUAGCGGCGAGCGAACGGGGAGCAGCCCAGAGCCUGAAUCAGUGUGUGUGUUAGUGGAAGCGUCUGGAAAGGCGCGCGAUACAGGGUGACAGCCCCGUACACAAAAAUGCAUAUACUGUGAGCUCGAUGAGUAGGGCGGGACACGUGGUAUCCUGUCUGAAUAUGGGGGGACCAUCCUCCAAGGCUAAAUACUCCUGACUGACCGAUAGUGAACCAGUACCGUGAGGGAAAGGCGAAAAGAACCCCGGCGAGGGGAGUGAAAAAGAACCUGAAACCGUGUACGUACAAGCAGUGGGAGCCUCUUUUAUGGGGUGACUGCGUACCUUUUGUAUAAUGGGUCAGCGACUUAUAUUCUGUAGCAAGGUUAACCGAAUAGGGGAGCCGAAGGGAAACCGAGUCUUAACUGGGCGUUAAGUUGCAGGGUAUAGACCCGAAACCCGGUGAUCUAGCCAUGGGCAGGUUGAAGGUUGGGUAACACUAACUGGAGGACCGAACCGACUAAUGUUGAAAAAUUAGCGGAUGACUUGUGGCUGGGGGUGAAAGGCCAAUCAAACCGGGAGAUAGCUGGUUCUCCCCGAAAGCUAUUUAGGUAGCGCCUCGUGAAUUCAUCUCCGGGGGUAGAGCACUGUUUCGGCAAGGGGGUCAUCCCGACUUACCAACCCGAUGCAAACUGCGAAUACCGGAGAAUGUUAUCACGGGAGACACACGGCGGGUGCUAACGUCCGUCGUGAAGAGGGAAACAACCCAGACCGCCAGCUAAGGUCCCAAAGUCAUGGUUAAGUGGGAAACGAUGUGGGAAGGCCCAGACAGCCAGGAUGUUGGCUUAGAAGCAGCCAUCAUUUAAAGAAAGCGUAAUAGCUCACUGGUCGAGUCGGCCUGCGCGGAAGAUGUAACGGGGCUAAACCAUGCACCGAAGCUGCGGCAGCGACACUAUGUGUUGUUGGGUAGGGGAGCGUUCUGUAAGCCUGUGAAGGUGUGCUGUGAGGUAUGCUGGAGGUAUCAGAAGUGCGAAUGCUGACAUAAGUAACGAUAAAGCGGGUGAAAAGCCCGCUCGCCGGAAGACCAAGGGUUCCUGUCCAACGUUAAUCGGGGCAGGGUGAGUCGACCCCUAAGGCGAGGCCGAAAGGCGUAGUCGAUGGGAAACAGGUUAAUAUUCCUGUACUUGGUGUUACUGCGAAGGGGGGACGGAGAAGGCUAUGUUGGCCGGGCGACGGUUGUCCCGGUUUAAGCGUGUAGGCUGGUUUUCCAGGCAAAUCCGGAAAAUCAAGGCUGAGGCGUGAUGACGAGGCACUACGGUGCUGAAGCAACAAAUGCCCUGCUUCCAGGAAAAGCCUCUAAGCAUCAGGUAACAUCAAAUCGUACCCCAAACCGACACAGGUGGUCAGGUAGAGAAUACCAAGGCGCUUGAGAGAACUCGGGUGAAGGAACUAGGCAAAAUGGUGCCGUAACUUCGGGAGAAGGCACGCUGAUAUGUAGGUGAAGUCCCUUGCGGAUGGAGCUGAAAUCAGUCGAAGAUACCAGCUGGCUGCAACUGUUUAUUAAAAACACAGCACUGUGCAAACACGAAAGUGGACGUAUACGGUGUGACGCCUGCCCGGUGCCGGAAGGUUAAUUGAUGGGGUUAGCGGUAACGCGAAGCUCUUGAUCGAAGCCCCGGUAAACGGCGGCCGUAACUAUAACGGUCCUAAGGUAGCGAAAUUCCUUGUCGGGUAAGUUCCGACCUGCACGAAUGGCGUAAUGAUGGCCAGGCUGUCUCCACCCGAGACUCAGUGAAAUUGAACUCGCUGUGAAGAUGCAGUGUACCCGCGGCAAGACGGAAAGACCCCGUGAACCUUUACUAUAGCUUGACACUGAACAUUGAGCCUUGAUGUGUAGGAUAGGUGGGAGGCUUUGAAGUGUGGACGCCAGUCUGCAUGGAGCCGACCUUGAAAUACCACCCUUUAAUGUUUGAUGUUCUAACGUUGGCCCCUGAUCGGGGUUGCGGACAGUGUCUGGUGGGUAGUUUGACUGGGGCGGUCUCCUCCUAAAGAGUAACGGAGGAGCACGAAGGUUGGCUAAUCCUGGUCGGACAUCAGGAGGUUAGUGCAAUGGCAUAAGCCAGCUUGACUGCGAGCGUGACGGCGCGAGCAGGUGCGAAAGCAGGUCAUAGUGAUCCGGUGGUUCUGAAUGGAAGGGCCAUCGCUCAACGGAUAAAAGGUACUCCGGGGAUAACAGGCUGAUACCGCCCAAGAGUUCAUAUCGACGGCGGUGUUUGGCACCUCGAUGUCGGCUCAUCACAUCCUGGGGCUGAAGUAGGUCCCAAGGGUAUGGCUGUUCGCCAUUUAAAGUGGUACGCGAGCUGGGUUUAGAACGUCGUGAGACAGUUCGGUCCCUAUCUGCCGUGGGCGCUGGAGAACUGAGGGGGGCUGCUCCUAGUACGAGAGGACCGGAGUGGACGCAUCACUGGUGUUCGGGUUGUCAUGCCAAUGGCACUGCCCGGUAGCUAAAUGCGGAAGAGAUAAGUGCUGAAAGCAUCUAAGCACGAAACUUGCCCCGAGAUGAGUUCUCCCUGACUCCUUGAGAGUCCUGAAGGAACGUUGAAGACGACGACGUUGAUAGGCCGGGUGUGUAAGCGCAGCGAUGCGUUGAGCUAACCGGUACUAAUGAACCGUGAGGCUUAACCUU
Molecule: ribosomal RNA, 2903 nt
Filed under: Escherichia coli
Lineage: Bacteria; Pseudomonadati; Pseudomonadota; Gammaproteobacteria; Enterobacterales; Enterobacteriaceae
Description: bacterial LSU rRNA
Rfam family: Bacterial large subunit ribosomal RNA
Source: RNAcentral